Molecule: long non-coding RNA, 1002 nt
Filed under: Equus caballus (horse)
Lineage: Eukaryota; Metazoa; Chordata; Mammalia; Perissodactyla; Equidae
Description: lncRNA (ENSECAG00000048691.1)
Source: RNAcentral
UGCUCGGGUUCUGAUUAGAGUCCUUCUGAAUCAGGGAAGCCAUAGAGUGCAGUUAAGAUACAGGCUUUGAAGUAAGAUAAACAUGGUCUUGCAUCUCAGCUUGACUUCUUUCUGGCUGUGACUUUGGGCAAGACUCUUGGCCAUUAGUCAUCCCGCAGCCACCUUUGAUCAGAGCCUGCUUUUUCCUUCCAGUCAUUGAGGACUGUGGUGGUCUUGACGACUUAUGUGGGCCUAAAUAGAAGAAGGGGGAGCAUUCCUUUUUCUUCUCUUCCAAUAUGGCAGGUUUUACUUAAGAGGUGAUGAUCCAAGACGGUGAUGCCAGAAAUUGGCAGAGUAUAAGGGAGUCUCCACAACAAAGAGAUAUAGCCAAAUGGAUCGUUUAACCCUGAGGCGGCAGUGGCACAUGCUUCCUUGAAGACCGGAUGAAACUCGGGGAAACCAGAAGUAAAACAUCAUAUAAUAAACAGAAAAAUUGUGCAAUCCUCUCGGAUUUUCUUUGAAAAAAACACGUCUAGAGAAGAGUAUGGCAUUUGGAGCCUGAAAGUCUGGGGGUUUGAAUUCUGGCUCUGCUAUUUACUAGCUAUGUGGCUGUGGACAACUUAACCUCCAGAAGCAUCAACUACCUCAUGUGGAAAAUGGAUACAUAAGCGGCACCUUGCAGAGGCGGCGCAGCGAAAGCCCUAGCAUAUACUUGGCACCCAGUGUGAAGCCCCAAUAUGAGAGUUAUCCUGGCUGUGGUCUCAGGGGUAUUGCUUUGAACAUAUAACCAAAGUUGCUGCCUUCUUCAAAACAACUCUAGAGUAAGCCCUUCGGAAUAAGCUAUGUUCACCAUGAGCCAUCUGGGUGGGAGGGUGUAUUUGGUGGGUGUGUGUCUAUGGAUAGGACAGCAACUGUAAAUGCACUUGGGAUGAAUAUAUCUGUUGGAAAUUGGGAUUCAGUAUUGAUUAAUGCUUUGACCUAAAGCCUCUACAAGUAUUUGCUUGUAAUUUACUUCUGUGGGAG